RNAcentral lists this ribosomal RNA (285 nucleotides) under uncultured Subdoligranulum sp. Its description in RNAcentral is "partial 16S ribosomal RNA". It matches the Rfam family "Bacterial small subunit ribosomal RNA", at positions 59 to 339 of the family's 1533-position model. The record is from RNAcentral. Lineage: Bacteria; Bacillati; Bacillota; Clostridia; Eubacteriales; Oscillospiraceae.
AAGUCGAACGGAGCUUAGAGAGCUUGCUUUUUAAGCUUAGUGGCGAACGGGUGAGUAACGCGUGAGUAACCUGCCCUAGAGUGGGGGACAACAGUUGGAAACGACUGCUAAUACCGCAUAAGCCCACGGUACCGCAUGAUACUGAGGGAAAAGGAUUUAUUCGCUUUAGGAUGGACUCGCGUCCAAUUAGCUAGUUGGUGAGGUAACGGCCCACCAAGGCGACGAUCGGUAGCCGGUCUGAGAGGAUGAACGGCCACACUGGAACUGAGACACGGUCCAGACUCC